CGGCGGACGGGUGAGUAACACGUGGAUAACCUACCUAUAAUACUGGGAUAACUUCGGGAAACCGGAGCUAAUACCGGAUAAUAUAUUGAACCGCAUGGUUCAAUAGUGAAAGACGGUUUUGCUGUCACUUAUAGAUGGAUCCGCGCCGCAUUAGCUAGUUGGUAAGGUAACGGCUUACCAAGGCAACGAUGCGUAGCCGACCUGAGAGGGUGAUCGGCCACACUGGAACUGAGACACGGUCCAGACUCCUACGGGAGGCAGCAGAC
RNAcentral lists this ribosomal RNA (266 nucleotides) under uncultured Staphylococcus sp. Its description in RNAcentral is "partial 16S ribosomal RNA". It matches the Rfam family "Bacterial small subunit ribosomal RNA", at positions 96 to 354 of the family's 1533-position model. Lineage: Bacteria; Bacillati; Bacillota; Bacilli; Caryophanales; Staphylococcaceae. The record is from RNAcentral.